GCCCAGGCCACUUGAAACAAUUGCUCUGGGGGACAUCAGCUACCAUAUAAGAAGUCUGACUACCCUGAAACCACUGAGGAAACCCAAGCUGACCAUGUGGAGAGGACACAGAGAGAUGCCUGACAACCCAGCCACCGGACUGUAAGUGAAGCAGCUUCAGAUGACUCAUCCUCAGCCACCAUCUAACAGUAACCACAUGAGAAACUCCAAAGGCCACCAGCUAAAGCCUGUCACAUCCCAGAACUGUGAAAGAUAGCAAUAAAUUGAUGUUUCAAGUCACCAAAUUUGGCAAUGGUUUGCUACACUGCAAUGAAUAAUGGAAAUGCCCAUUUCUGUUGGUGGCAUGACCCUAACUGGGCUCUGCCAUCAGCCUUGCUCAGGCCAGCUCCCAUAACUGUGG
This 400-nucleotide long non-coding RNA is filed under the name Marmota monax (woodchuck). Lineage: Eukaryota; Metazoa; Chordata; Mammalia; Rodentia; Sciuridae. The record is from RNAcentral.